RNAcentral lists this ribosomal RNA (506 nucleotides) under uncultured bacterium. RNAcentral describes it as "partial 16S ribosomal RNA". It matches the Rfam family "Bacterial small subunit ribosomal RNA", at positions 28 to 523 of the family's 1533-position model. The record is from RNAcentral.
GAUGAACGCUAGCUACAGGCUUAACACAUGCAAGUCGAGGGGUGACGAGAGGGAAGCUUGCUUUCCUUGUCGACGACCGGCGCACGGGGGAGUAACGCGUAUCCAACCUGCCCCCAACUAGGGAAUAACCUUGCGAAAGUAAGACUAAUACCCUAUAAUUUCCUCAGAUUUCAUCUGACGAGGAAUAAAGAUUUAUCGGUUGUGGAUGGGGAUGCGUCUGAUUAGCUUGUUGGCGGGGUAACGGCCCACCAAGGCAACGAGCAGUAGGGGUUCUGAGAGGAAGGUCCCCCACAUUGGAACUGAGGCACGGUCCAAACUCCUACGGGAGGCAGCAGUGAGGAAUAUUGGUCAAUGGGCGGAAGCCUGAACCAGCCAAGUAGCGUGCAGGAUGACGGCACUAUGGGUUGUAAACUGCUUUUAUACAGGAAUAAAGUUAGCCACGUGUGGUUAUUUGUAGGUACUGUAUGAAUAAGGACCGGCUAAUUCCGUGCCAGCAGCCGCCGUAA